RNAcentral lists this ribosomal RNA (1483 nucleotides) under uncultured Bordetella sp. RNAcentral describes it as "partial 16S-23S ribosomal RNA intergenic spacer". It matches the Rfam family "Bacterial small subunit ribosomal RNA". The record is from RNAcentral. Lineage: Bacteria; Pseudomonadati; Pseudomonadota; Betaproteobacteria; Burkholderiales; Alcaligenaceae.
GGGAGCACUGUAGGAACAGAGGGUUCGAUUAUGGUUCACUUGAACGCUAUGAUGUUUACAUACGCAAGUCGAACGGCAGCACGGACUUCGGUCUGGUAUGAGCAGCGAACGCGAGUAAUGCAUCGGGAAUGUGUUUGGUAGCGGGACACCACGCUAUGCUGUAGCAUACCGCACAAUAGCCCUUCGGGGAAAGCGGGGACCCCGGGCCUCGCACUAUUAGAGCGGGAAGUCGAUAUCGUGGAUUAGCUAGGUUGGUGGGUAACGGCUCACCAAGGCGACAUCCGUAGCUGGUUUGAGGACGACCAGCCACAGCCACUGGGACUGAGACACGGCCCAGACUCCUACGGGAGGCAGCAGUAGAAAUUUUGGACAAUGGGGAACCGAUCCAGCCAUCCCUAUGCAGCAGAUGCCGAAGGCCUCGGGGUUGGGAAGCACUUUUGGCAGGAAGAAACGGCACGGACAAUACCCCGUGCAACUGACGUACCUGCAGAAUAAGCACCGGCUAACUACAAAAAACGCCAGCAGCCGCGUAAUACGUAAAAAAAGACUGGAAUGCCAUUGGGCAGCGUGCGCAGGCGGUUCGGAAAGAAAGAUGUGAAAUCCCAGAGCUUAACUUUGGAACUGCAUUUAACUACCGAGCUAGAGUGUGUCAGAGGGAGGUGGAAUUCCGCGUAGCAGUGAAAUGUGUAGAUAUGCGGAGGAACACCGAUGGCGAAGGCAGCCUCCUGGGAUAACACUGACGCUCAUGCACGAAAGCGUGGGGAGCAAACAGAUUAGAUACCCUGGUAGUCCACGCCCUAAACGAUGUCAACUAGCUGUUGGGGCCUUUCGGGCUCGGUAGCGCAGCUCGCGUGAAGUUGACCGCCUGGGAGUACGGUCGCAAGAUUAAAACUCAAAGGAAUUGACGGGGACCCGCACAAGCGGUGGAUGAUGUGGAUUACCCGAUGCAACGCGAAAAACCUUACCUACCCUUGACAUGUCUGGAAUCCCGAAGAGAUUUGGGAGUGCUCGCAAGAGAAACCGGAACACAGGCAAGCGUAUGGCUGUCGUCAGCUCGUGUCGUGAGAUGUUGGGUUAAGUCCCGCAACGAGCGCAACCCUUGUCAUUAGUUGCUACGAAAGGGCACUCUAAUGAGACUGCCGGUGACAAACCGGAGGAAGGUGGGGAUGACGUCAAGUCCUCAUGGCCUCUUAUGGUAGGGCUUCACACGUCAUACAAUGGUCGGGACAGAGGGUCGCCAACCCGCGAGGGGAGCCAAUCCCAGAAACCCGAUCGUAGUCCGGACUGCAGUCUGCAACUCGACUGCGUGAAGUCGGAAUCGCUAGUAAUCGCGGAUCAGCAUGUCGCGGUGAAUACGUUCCCGGGUCUUGUACACACCGCCCGUCACACCAUGGGAGUGGGUUUUACCAGAAUAGUUAGCCUAACCAAGGAGGGCGAUUACCACGGUAGGAUUCAUGACUGGGGUGAAGUCGUAACAAGGUAG